CCCACCUGCCCCUCUCCCACCUGCCCCUGCCUGGCCCUGGUCUGCGCCCUCCUGUGCUCCCCAGACCUUAGAGAAUAUUUAACCACCUGUUAAAUGAUUUAUCCCAUCGAGGCUCCAGAGCUCAGGGCAUCUCACGGGCCUCCUCGAGAAUUAACUAGAGCUAUAAAUCAAAGCGACAUGUGAGAAAUUUCAGCUGCCUCAGACAGCAGGCAGCAGCGCCCGGAUGGGAAAAUGGCAUUUAGAAGGGAGAGGCAUGCAUGGCUCAGCCCAGAGCUGCCCAGACUAGCUCAGAAGGGGAUUGGGGAGGCGGGCCAAGGACGCUGGACCUUCAGAGUGCUGUCAGGGGCCCAGUACGUCUGUGUUCUUUGGGUCUGUCUGAGGCAGGUGGCAGCCUAGGUCUUCUACAGCAGGCGAAGCGCCAGACCACCUGUGGCUUCACCGACUAGGGAACAGCUCAAGGGACAGCGAAUCCUGGCCGUGUUCUACUGGCCGUUGGACCAUGAGGACCCAUCAUAGGAAACAAGCCCAGAGAAGGGCAUGAGCCAGAUAGAUUCCAGGGACCCAGAUAGAUGCGCUCAGCUCAUCUCCCGCCAGACGGUCUGUCACUGAAGAAAGGUGACACAGGAGGUGCAGCCACAGCCACCAGAAGCCACCCAUGCCGAGUGAAAAGUGGACUUUUCUACGGGUGGAUGGUCCAUAAGUCUCCCACCUAGAAAAACUUCAUGUGGAUCUUCUAAUCUCCCACAAUCCAUUAAAUUUUUGUUCCCACCAA
This is a long non-coding RNA of Peromyscus eremicus (cactus mouse), 772 nucleotides long. RefSeq lists it as uncharacterized. Lineage: Eukaryota; Metazoa; Chordata; Mammalia; Rodentia; Cricetidae. The record is from RefSeq and is a predicted model, not a curated record. The transcript has 2 exons.